RNAcentral lists this ribosomal RNA (804 nucleotides) under uncultured bacterium. RNAcentral's name for it is "bacterial SSU rRNA". It matches the Rfam family "Bacterial small subunit ribosomal RNA", at positions 248 to 1055 of the family's 1533-position model. The record is from RNAcentral.
GUUGGUGAGGUAACGGCUCACCAAGGCUACGAUGGUUAGGGGGUCUGAGAGGAUGAUCCCCCACACUGGUACUGAGACACGGACCAGACUCCUACGGGAGGCAGCAGUGAGGAAUAUUGGGCAAUGGGCGCAAGCCUGACCCAGCCAUGCCGCGUGAAGGAUGAAUGCCCUAUGGGUUGUAAACUUCUUUUGUACGGGACGAAUCUCUCGAACGUGUUCGGGACUGACUGUACCGUACGAAUAAGCAUCGGCUAACUCCGUGCCAGCAGCCGCGGUAAUACGGAGGAUGCAAGCGUUAUCCGGAUUCAUUGGGUUUAAAGGGUGCGUAGGCGGAAGAAUAAGUCAGUGGUGAAAGCCUGCGGCUUAACCGUAGAAUUGCCAUUGAUACUGUUUUUCUUGAGUAUAGUUGAAGUGGGCGGAAUGUGUAAUGUAGCGGUGAAAUGCUUAGAUAUUACACAGAACACCAAUUGCGAAGGCAGCUCACUAAGCUGUUACUGACGCUGAGGCACGAAAGCGUGGGGAGCAAACAGGAUUAGAUACCCUGGUAGUCCACGCUGUAAACGAUGAUCACUCGUUGUUGGCGAUACACCGUCAGCGACUGAGCGAAAGCAAUAAGUGAUCCACCUGGGGAGUACGGUCGCAAGACUGAAACUCAAAGGAAUUGACGGGGGCCCGCACAAGCGGAGGAACAUGUGGUUUAAUUCGAUGAUACGCGAGGAACCUUACCUGGGCUUGAAAGGGAACGACCUCCCGGGAAACCGGGAUUCUCUUCGGAGCGGUCUCCUAGUGCUGCAUGGUUGUCGU